This 23-nucleotide non-coding RNA is filed under the name Arabidopsis thaliana (thale cress). The record is from RNAcentral. Lineage: Eukaryota; Viridiplantae; Streptophyta; Magnoliopsida; Brassicales; Brassicaceae.
CUGAAUAGUUAUCGUGUAAGCCU